RNAcentral lists this ribosomal RNA (232 nucleotides) under uncultured bacterium. RNAcentral describes it as "partial 16S ribosomal RNA". It matches the Rfam family "Bacterial small subunit ribosomal RNA", at positions 99 to 334 of the family's 1533-position model. The record is from RNAcentral.
CGGACGGGUGAGUAAUGCUCGGGAAUCUAGCUUAUGGAGGGGGGUAACUACGGGAAACUGUAGCUAAUACCGCGUAAUAUCGAAAGAUUAAAGUGUGGGACCUUCGGGCCACAUGCCAUAGGAUGAGCCCAAGUGGGAUUAGGUAGUUGGUGAGGUAAAGGCUCACCAAGCCGACGAUCUCUAGCUGGUCUGAGAGGAUGACCAGCCACACUGGGACUGAGACACGGCCCAG